UAAAUGUGUGUUGAUUGUAACAUGUAGUAUGGUGUGGAUUGGGUUAUGUUAUUUUAUUUGUAUACAUGUAGUUUAUUAUUGUUUUUUUUAGACUACUACAGAAAAUGAGACAGCAACCAAUACAACACCGUGGAUAGUGGCAACCGUCACCACUUUAAUAGGUUGCUUAAAAGUUUAUAUAAUUUUUCUUGGAGUAAUUUUGUUUCUUUUAAUUGUCUCAUUUUUGUUUUCUUAAUAAAAAAGUAUUACUAUCAAUCAGACUUCAUUCCAGUUAUGUUAUCAAUAGAUGAUUCUUUAAAUGUUGAAAUGGACACCAUGACUAGUUAAAUUAUUUCUUUUCUUGUAGUACUUCUGGUGAUAGCAUUCGUUAUUUUGAGGAAGAAAUGUUUGAGGAAUAGUAGGGGAGGGUUAAUUGAUCACGGUCUUCCUCUGCAGGAGAUUCCUUCUGCCCCUAAAUAUAAGUACUAUUAGGAUAUUUUUUUUUUUUAUUAAUUUAAAUUGAAAUUUCAAUAUCACUGCUUUUAACUCUUUUUUUUUACUUACAGUGAUAUUCUUUCUAAUUAGUGGAUUUAUUGUUUGGAGGAAAAGACGUUCUCAAAAUAUUUCAAACUAAGAAGAUGAACUAUAUAAUAAAGCCUGGUACAAUUUAAGUAGUAACAAUUUAUAAAAUUUGUAUUUUUUUUUUAUUUUCUUCUUGUAGAACUAUUUCAAGUCCUCAUCUUUACACUCAUCAGUUUGCUAGUGGUUUUAAACCGAAUACAUAGAUUUUUAAUAAAUGCUGCACCAGCUAUUCGCAACUUCAUCCCCCUGUAAGACAACUUCUUAACCCUCCUCCACAUCAACCGCUACACCAAGCAGCAGUUCAACCCAUACCACCUGCAGUACACCGAGAAAUCAUCCUACCCUUGCCAGCACCACCACGUAUUUUAAGAAGAAGCACCAGACAGUCAAUACCACCCAACAGACUUAAUUUAUAAUUUAUUUAUGUGAUUAAUUUGUGUAUUUUAAGCUUCUCAAUGAUUGAAAUUAGUGUUUUUCAAACUGCUAUAUAACCAGUGUAAUUUUUAUGAUAAAAAGGUUGGUUCAAAUAUUAUGAAUUUUUUAUAUUUUUGUCAAAGGUUCAAAAUAAAUACUUUGUUAAAAUUUUAUGAAAAUUAAACGAGCCAAAUUAAUUUUAGUUAAGGUGUUGAGUACCACCUUAAUUAUAAAACUAUGAAUAAUACCACUGUAAGACUAGCUUUAUGAAUCAUAUUAAUGUUUAAAGUAUUUCUUACCUGUCCUUUAAAAUAUUCAGCACUAUCUGUAGCAUGUCUCUGCUGUACACACUAUUUGCUGUGUUGCACUGUUGCAUGAGUUCUCCUAAAAAUGUCUCACUCAUACUCAUGAGGCACCCUAUUUUAGUUUCCUUGCUUUAUGAAGCAAACUAUGAUAUAGUCCAGAAAUAUUAAACUGUGUAUUGCUAAAUGUGUUGAUGGGCUGGUAGCAAUACCAAUCCUUCAUUUCCUUAAACAAUUCGGGUUGUAUUGAACACUUAUAACAUGGGAAAAAGUGAAUUCCCACUGCUGGUAUAUGUCGAGAUACAAAAUUAGUUAAUUCAUUAAGAAAGUUACUUGUUGAAGCAUGAUCCAUCAUGAAGUUUUCUGGAUAGAAUGAAAGUAUAAUAAUUUUUCAUAAAUAUUAAAGGAUUUAUUCUUCUCUCUUGGUUAUGAUAAGAUUUAUUAAAUAAAGUUGGGUUGAUAAAUUUAAUUCAUUUAGACUUAACUGAGAUGCCAUUUUAGGAUUAAUUUAUAUAUGACUAAGCAUCCAUUGUGGUGACAAAGGAGAUAUUAGCAUUUCUAUGUUAUAUUAUCUUAAGAAGUUUAUUGAGGGUUUUUUUUUUUAUUGUUGAAGGUUUAAACAAAGUAGAGUGAUAAUUUUCUAUACAUAAGAAAAACCAACAUCCUGUGUUUGGCAUGAUUAUAAAUUAUGGUUAAAUUAAUACAUUUUUCUUUUAAUAUUUUUUUUUUAAUUUUUUGAUGUUGAAAAUAUUGAACAAGUCAGAUUUUGAAAUGAUGUUACUUCAAAGGGUGUUGUUUAUAUUAUACAUAUCUAGGAGUUUUGUAUAUGUUUACACAAUUCUGUUUUGUUAUGUUAAUUAGAAGUUUAACUCAAAUUAGAAGUAAUAUAUGUUUAUCUGUCUGAUGUUCUCCAUUAACAGUUAAUCAGUUUUGAAACUUGAUUGCAAUUAAGACGAUUUCUUAUACUCUACAUCUAAAGAUUGUUAUACAUGUUUAUCUAUCAACAGUUAUUUAGCUUGAGGCUUGAUUGUAAUUAAAAAUAUUUCGUAAUUACACAGUACAAUAACUUCUAAAGUAAGAAAAUAAAAAUAUUUAUGAAGCUUUAAAUCUAAGGAAUUAUCUGAUCUGAUAUGAUCUAUCAGAUUAAAAGAUAAAAUUUAUUUGGUCUUAAUAUAAUGUAAAAAUAUCAAAAAUGUUAUAGAGGUUAAUGGGGAACAUUAGACAGACCUUAGUAGUAUACUUUAGUAUAUGAAAUGUUUAUACUGUAAUAUAUAACAUGUAUAUAGUCUUUGUUUUCUUGUUAUUAAGCAAUAUAGUUGUGAUAAUUUAUUAAAUGUUAAUUGUUUUAAAGUUGGUGUUAAGUAAUUGUGAUAAUCAUCAAAGUUCAUAUUUCAAAUCAUGAUACUUGUACUCAUGAUAUGUUGCUAUAUAUUUCUUCAACUUUUCUAUUCAUUUACAAUCAUAUGAUAGUUUGAGAGAGGAAAAGACUUUUGUUUUAUCAUGUAUAUACUCUCUACAGGUUCCCUCUAUAAAGACAAAUUUUAGAAAGAAAGUAGUGCUUAUACUAUAGUUUUGGUGCUAUGUAUUCCAACAGAUUCCUCAUAUAGAAACAAAUUUUAUAAAGAAAGUAGUGCACUACAUUUUUACUUUAGUUUUGGUGCUAUGUAUUCUUACAUUGAUAAAAUAAGCAUUUACGGUUGUUAAUCAAACCAUGUUACCUUCAUAUAUUUUAUCUAUAUUUUGUUACUUUAUCUAGUGCAACAUUCCCUUCACUUAAUUUUUGCGUCAUACAUGUUUUCAUUUUAAACAUCGAAAUCAUGUGGGUUAUAUUUUUAUUUUAUAACAUAAUUUAUCUUCUAUCACAUUCCAUCAAAGUUCUUUUUUUUUUCUUUUUUCUUUUCUUUUUUUUUGUAGUCAUUUUAAUCAUAUCACUAUAUGUAAUCUUUUACAUGUCUCUUUUUAGAAAUCCAUUCUUGUUAAAAAAAACAUUUGUUUUAGAAGCUUUAUAAAAUUUUAUAUAUUAGAAACAAACUCAGGGUUGUAUGCUCAAAUACCGGUUUUAAUAUAAGUUUUUUAUAUACUAUACAUAUAUUGUAAUAUUUAUUUUUUAUGUUAAAAUACUCAAUCAGUUUUUGCAAUAAUGGGGAUCUAUUCAAAAUGUGAUGUAUACAUAAUGUAUAUAAGUUUUUGAUAUUAAAAAUAAUUUAUUUU
Long non-coding RNA from Mytilus californianus (California mussel), 3488 nucleotides. RefSeq lists it as uncharacterized. Lineage: Eukaryota; Metazoa; Mollusca; Bivalvia; Mytilida; Mytilidae. The record is from RefSeq and is a predicted model, not a curated record. The transcript is spliced from 2 exons.